Molecule: long non-coding RNA, 786 nt
Filed under: Gallus gallus (chicken)
Lineage: Eukaryota; Metazoa; Chordata; Aves; Galliformes; Phasianidae
Description: lncRNA (ENSGALG00010000370.1)
Source: RNAcentral
GGGGGGGGGCACAUAAGGGGCGGUUUGGGGGGAUUCACCCCCAAAAAAAACGGUUUUGAGGGACCCCAAAAAGGGCGGUUUUGGGGUUUCUCCCGAAAAAGUGGUUUCAAGGGGCCCCCAAAACGAAAGCUUUUAGGAUUCCCCAAAAAAAGUGGUUUCAAGGCACCCCAAAAAGGGCGGUUUUUAGGAUUCUACCCCAAAAAGUGGUUUCAAGGGACCCCAAAAAGGGCGGUUUUUAGGAUUCUACCCCAAAAAGUGGUUUCAAGGGACCCCAAAAAGGGCAGUUUUUAGGAUUGUACCCCAAAAAUUGGUUUCAAGGGACCCCAAAAAGGGCAGUUUUUAGGAUUGUACCCCAAAAAUUGGUUUCAAGGGACCCCAAAAAGGGCAGUUUUAGGAUUCUACCCCAAAAAAGUGGUUUUGAGGGCCCCCAAAAGGGCGUUUUUAGGGGAUUCCCAAUAAAGUGGUUUCAAGGAACCCCAAAAAGGGCGGGUUUGGGGGAUUCCUCCCAAAAAUUGGUUUCAAGGGACCCCAAAAAGGGCUUUUUGGGGGGAUUCCCAAUAAAGUGGUUUCAAGGCACCCCAAAAAGGGCAGUUUUUAGGAUUGUACCCCAAAAAUGUGGUUUUGAGGGCCCCCAAAAGGGCAGUUUUUAGGAUUGUACCCCCCAAAAAUUGGUUUCAAGGGCCCCCCAAAAGGGCACUUUUGGGGUUUCCCAUUGUUUUGGGGUUUCCCAUUCUCUUGGGGUUUCCCCCCCGUUCGGGGCUCCCGACCCCCCCCUGAGCCCCCCCC